GGCAGUUGCUUCCUCCCAGGGCCCUCCCAAGGGGGAACCAAACCUUCCUCCUCCUGAGUCUGCAGUGUGAGCUGAGCUUCAGCCCCGGGGCUCAGGGAGGGGCUGGGCAGUUCUUGGAAGGAAACUCAUUUGCAUGAGCAGCCCCUCCUCUGGCAGAGGGUGGAGAAGAAAAGGAGACCUGGGGCAGCCCAGGCCCACUGUUAGGGCUCAGGGGCUCUGUCCACCAUGGCCUGGACUCUUCUCCUUCUCAUGCUCCUCUCUCACUGCACAGGUUCCCUCUCCCAGCCUGUUCUGACUCAGCCAUCUUCCCAUUCCGCAUCUUCUGGAGCGCCAGCCAGACUCACCUGCACGCUGAGCAGUGGCUUCAGUGUUGGUGACUUCUGGAUAAGAUGGUACCAACAAAAGCCAGGGAGCCCUCCCCGGUAUCUCCUGUACUACCACUCAGACUCAGACAAGGGCCAAGGCUCUGGAGUUCCCAGCCGCUUCUCUGGAUCCAACGAUGCAUCAGCUAAUGCAGGGAUUCUGCAUAUCUCUGGGCUCCAGCCUGAGGAUGAGGCUGACUAUUACUGUUGUACAUGGCAUGGCAACUCUAAGACUCACACAGUGCUCCAGACCCAUGAGGAAGUCAGACAAAAACCUCCCUUCUAUUCUCCUGGCCUGGUGAAGUCACCCCUGCUGGUGACUCUGACCAAAUCUAACUCAGAGGGUGACAUCUGUUGUCACACCAAUAGCACUGGAGCUCCCACUGACAAGUAGGUCAAAUGAAGUCCUACCUUGCUAACAUUUCACAGGCAGACAUCCCUUGCUCAGGGGUAAAAUCUCUCAGUGUUGACAUAGAAGAAGGCAAGAGGGGUGGGUUGGGGUUCAUCUCAGCUCAGAGUCUAGAAGUGACUCAGAGAUGCUGCUGGUCUGAGUUUUAAUACGAGCCUUGGGAUACAAUACAGGGAUGCAGAAGGGAAUUGUAUUCUCCAUAUCAGUAAUGAACCAUCAGUAAUUGAAAAGUUAAUACAUUGAAAAUAGCAUAAAACAUGAAAUACUUUAGGAUAAGUAUGACAAAAAUUGUUGUUUUACACACUAGAAGUCAUAAAACAUUGCUUAGAUGCAGGUCUUAAAGAAGACCUGAAUAAAUGCACAGAUAAUCCUUUU
Rhinopithecus roxellana (golden snub-nosed monkey) is the source of this 1146-nucleotide non-coding RNA. NCBI's taxonomy places the organism in Eukaryota, Metazoa, Chordata, Mammalia, Primates, Cercopithecidae. The record is from the annotation of a RefSeq genome assembly.